This is a long non-coding RNA of Xiphophorus hellerii (green swordtail), 3790 nucleotides long. RefSeq lists it as uncharacterized. The transcript is spliced from 2 exons. The record is from RefSeq and is a predicted model, not a curated record. Lineage: Eukaryota; Metazoa; Chordata; Actinopteri; Cyprinodontiformes; Poeciliidae.
CAAUGUAAACAGGAUACCACAGCUGUUUUCCUUUUUUUUAAAAAAAUAUUUUGUUUUCAAAUGAAUGUAAAGUAGAUAGGCCACAUAAAAGGUCUAAGGCAAUCAUUGUCUUUUAUGUCACAAAACUGACGUUUCUACUGAAGUGUCUAACUUUUUAUACCCACAGUGUGUGUGUAGGUGUGUGAUCAAUGGUAUUUGAUACAUUAUAAGGACCAUUUGGUAACACAUGGAGACCAAAGACUCCACAACAAAGAGCUGUUUUAGGACCAAGGUGUGAAGUGAGAUCAAGGAUGGGGUUAGGGAUAAUUUAAAGAAUUAAAGUCAAUGGAAAGUCCCUGCAAAAAUAGAGAAAUGUGUAUGUGUGUGUUUACUUCUGUAGCUAUUCUAUUUAGGACUAUUUCUGGCAUAUUUGCUAACCUUCUGAAGACCGAUGGGCCUUAUGGAAACCAAUGGCUGGUCAGGUUUAGAGGUAAGGUGUGAAUUCAGUUUUAGUUAAGGUUAUGGUUAGGAAUAGACUAGUAAUGUUUAGGGUUGAGGUAAAUGUCUGUUUCAGGCAUAAAUGCAGUUACAAAUAAAUGCAUAAAUGCAGAAUGGAGGGCAAUGCAAAGUCUUAAUAUGGGUAGAAAUACAAACGCGAGUGUGUAUGUGCUUGAACAAGAUGUUAUUUGUUUUAGUUGGAACUAUAUAGAUCAACUGAAUUGAACAAAUGCCAAUUUCCACCCUGUGUGUUCCUUAGAGAUGCUGGAACCGUUGAAACAGAGAAUCGUGGGAAUACCAUCCGAGUGGAAUUGUGGGAUUCCAUGGAAAAGAAAGCGAUAGUUAUGUUCCUAUACGUUUUCUGUUACUCUGCAACAAGAUUGCACCUGCCUGUGUCGUUCUACGUGAUUCAUAAAGGGGAUUAUAACGCACUUGCUCAUGUGAAACCUGUUUAUUGCGCCUGUAUCUUUUUCUUUCUUCUGCAAACUGCGUUGUUGGCCGUAAAUUCUGAUUCAGCUCGACUAUUGACAACAGCAACUUGAAAAAGCCUCCGGCUCGUCAUCCGUCUUUCCCAAGUAACUCAUCUCCACCCGUUGGAGAUCAUUGCCCCUCCAGGCGGCCGUUGCAGGCAGAAGCUUGAGCGUUGCCACACCAUUGCUCUUUAUUGGGUUUUCAGGAAUGAGGAAGUAUGAGAGGCAGCGUCUUUACGGGAAGCCAGCCAGGCUGGGAGGGAGGGGCGAGUGGGAAUGCACGUGGGCAGAGAGGUUAUGACAAAUAUUUGUUAUGACACACAGGAAGAGAAAACAAACGAAAAAAGAAAAAAAACGAAACUGUGCAAAAGGUGGAAAGAUUUAAUUACAUUUGAGCCGGGCUAAUCACAUUUCUCAUCUUGCUCACCGUGCCGUUGGUCUACCCACCCAGCCUUUUCAUCACCGCCAUCAUCAUCAUUGUCGCUGUUGCUACUUGCAAGCUCUUGGCAAGGCAAUACCAACUGCUUAUUGUGAAAGUAAUUCUAUUUGGCAAAAGCCUGGAACUGUACAGAGAAGGAAUUACUGUAGCUGGAGGCAAUAAUACACCGUGUUCCGUUUCACAAUGCCAUCAAAAGAAAACACGUUCCACUUUUUUGGCAGAACUGACAAAUACUACCACAUGGAGAACAAACACACAGUUUACCCUUCCUGGAGCAAAUUAUUGAUCCAGACUGCAUGUUCUCCUCCCCUUUGUAGUCACUACACCGACACUUUUUUUCCCCCCUUCAAGUCCAGAUCCUCUUCUGGCUGGGACUGUUUGUCCUGGGAUGACAGGGAGUGGGAGCAUGCUAGUGUCCCUUGGCUAACAGAUCUUGGCAGAAGCCGGCGCGGUGUGCAGCGCGGUGAGUCAGGUUGGGAGGAAUGCGGCACUCCCACAACAUCCAGCAAGGUUCUCACAUAGGGACGGACGCUGGAAGAGGGGCUGACCUUCACAAGAUUCCUCUUCCUAAUCCCAUCUGGUUUAACGCCUAAAUCCUGACUGGGUUCCAAAAAAGGUCCUCCCUGCUGACCCAGUCUGGCCGUUUUCCCCAGGCUUGCAGGAGCGACACGACCACGGAAGGCCACGGAACCGUGGGAUCCGCUUUGACUGUUGAGAGAGCGCUGAGGUGGGGCAGAAAGCUGCCCUGCCUCGCCCUCCCUCUCCCAUUACACAGCUGAGUCAUUCACAAAAAUGUGAAAACAAAGUCAACAACAGAACGGCCCUCCUGGGACUGUAAGCUGAGUAAGAAUGACAGAUGGAUUUACUCACACAUGAAAACACAGGAAAGCAUUCCCAUUCAGUGAAGCGAAGCGGCUCAUAAAGAAAAGGUGUGAAUCAUCUUUUUAUUAGUACAUUUUAUGCUCUGCUGCUUUCUUUUUUUUUUUUGCAGGACAAAUACAGUUGGUAAAAACUAGAGCUACUCUAAGAAAGCUCUAUUUUUGGAUGUAGCGUAUCGACGUCUAUCAUUAACAUUGCAACAAAAAAAGAAGCAACACUAAUAAAAGGAUGACUACGUUCAAUUCUAAGUUGUUUUUGUGUUGGUCUUUCAGUUAGUCGUGGGUGAGGCUCAGUGAAACUGCAGUGUAUUGUUGUGUUGUUACUUUCGUUUCUCUGGUAUUGUGUGUGUGUAUAAAGUGUGUAGGACAAUAAAUAUUCUCUAUAGAGAAACCAAGGCUGCACUGAGAUGCAUUGGCUUGUAGUUGUACCUCAUAAAACAUUUCUCCAUUGUCAAGUAUGACUUUAUCUGGUUACCAGCUGCGUAUCCAUUACAAAUGUGCACAAGUCUUUGUCUAGAUUACUACCCUGAAAAAAUAAAAAUUUUGCAAUUGCAGUGCUUCCAUCAAAUAAGAAAUUAAAUUAAAAUCACAUGUGAAUAAGCUUAUUCAUGCGAGAAGUCAUUAAAAAUUAUGGCAGAUCAGUCAAAAUUCAAUCAGACAGUUGUAUUUAAAUAUAUUAAUAUUUCAGCCAUGGCGCUAUCAGUCAUCAGCGUCUUAUUCAUUCGUUGGAGUGACAAGCCCCUUAUACCUAGGAGUGGCUACAGAAGAGCGAUGGAUUCAACAUGUUGGAAAGACGCAACGUUUUAUGAACUGUGUGCUGCUUUAUGACCUGCUGGAGCCUGUCUUCUUUGUCGUUUUUGACAGCAGUAACAUUCUAGCACAAAAACCAUUUAUGACAAAAAUAAAUAAAAAAAUCAAUUUUUUUUCUAAAUUGAUGUGUUUCCAUUAAACAAUUUUAUUUUUGUGAUUUCAAUUUGCACAAUUUUGUGCUUGAUGGAAACGGAGCUAGCGUCAGGUUUGGAGUAUUUCCAUCUCAGUCCGUUCCUCACUGUUGUUGGCAGGAACGUGGGCAGGAACGUGGGUCAGCGCAGAAGCUGUGGUCGACACCCCCAUGAGGUGUUCAACAACAUUCAGCAAUGGAGAGCCUCAUCGCUGAGUGUCAGCUUUUAUUCUGUUGUGAAUACAGACAACAAUUAAAUUUGUACCAUUAGCUUACUCUCAAAAUAGGGAAAGUUGGACAUAGACAGUAUGCAGUAUCUUUUAUGAACACUUUCUGUUUCUUGAAAGGUGCUGGUCUGAACUAACACAUAACUUGGGGGAGAAAAAACUUUUUCCUUACUUGUUUGCACAUAUGAUUCAAAUGGAACAGAGACAGAAAAAUGCAACAAUUAUUAUGUAGCUGUGUGAAUGUGUGUUUAUUUCUUCAAAGAAAUGUUUAAUUGUUGAUCAGUUCUUACAUUCCAUUUCUUUUUUGUGUUUUCCCAAAUACAAAACCUGUAAUAAAUGUCGAUCUUUGUUUUAAAGAA